UACGUAGGUGGCAAGCGUUGUCCGGAUUUACUGGGCGUAAAGGGAGCGUAGGCGGACUUUUAAGUGAGAUGUGAAAUACCCGGGCUCAACUUGGGUGCUGCAUUUCAAACUGGAAGUCUAGAGUGCAGGAGAGGAGAAUGGAAUUCCUAGUGUAGCGGUGAAAUGCGUAGAGAUUAGGAAGAACACCAGUGGCGAAGGCGGCUUCCUGGUCUGUAACUGACACUGAGGCGCGAAAGCGUGGGGAGCAAACAGGAUUAGAUACCCGUGUA
Molecule: ribosomal RNA, 269 nt
Filed under: uncultured prokaryote
Description: partial 16S ribosomal RNA
Rfam family: Bacterial small subunit ribosomal RNA
Source: RNAcentral